Molecule: long non-coding RNA, 4533 nt
Organism: Boleophthalmus pectinirostris (great blue-spotted mudskipper)
Lineage: Eukaryota; Metazoa; Chordata; Actinopteri; Gobiiformes; Gobiidae
Exons: 4
Source: RefSeq, a predicted model, not a curated record
AUCACUUCGGACCUGACACCGGACACAGCGGACCUCCACUACACUCGUGUCUUCUCCGUGGCGUUCUAUCUCCAGCGCGAAACUAAAAAACUCGUCCUGUGAAGUGGAGCGUCUAUACCGCGAGGACCCUGAAGUGUGCCUGCCGUCCCCACAUGACCAGAGGAUCGCGUGUGCAAGACAAUAAGGCUGCGAAGUUAUGAAACUGUGAUGGGUGAAGACAGUAAAGUUGCAGUUGACCACUCCAGGACAAAAACAGGGGAAGCUGGGAGCCCCAAGAGCCACACUUAACAAAGAAGAGGACAUGUCGAUGAGAGAGGGAUUUGAGAGAUAUGCACCCAUGGCCUCCUGUUUGCAAUCUGAAACUAGCCUCCCAGUAAUCUCAAGUCUUCUCAAGAGUAAUAUGGUCAAACUGCAGAGGAAGCGGAGGAGACACAAUUGCGGCGCUAAGGAAAUGGAAUCACACACACAUACACGCACGCAUGCACACACACAGACACACACACACACAAUCACACAUGUACACUCACACCUGGAGGGGAAGAGCAGGUGAGUAUUAAGUCAGGAAGCUAAACAGAUCACGUCGCGGUAUGAUAUCAGCAGACAGGCAGACAGACAGAGGAGACUGGUCCAUACCUGCAGGCGCUCGGCAACAGCUCACACAUACACAAACCUGGCUAGGAAUGUCCUCCCCCCCCUCCGGAGACAGCCACACCAGGGGAGGGGGGAGGACGAAGCCAGGGGACUGAGAAUGAACCAGAGCUACUGUUGAAAUGUGGUCAGGAAAUGUUGUAAAAAAGGAGGGCGACAUUUUGUUUCAAGAUGUUGAGUAUUUGGACUGCAACAUAUAAAAAACAUGCAGAUUUUUUAUUGAUAUUAUUAGGCUUGUCUUGAGUGUGACAUUUUGCUACAGAAAAUAUGAUAAACAGUAAUAUUGAAAGAGUUAACACAAGUUAAGUUAACACUUAAGCAAUAACCUUUAAGCAGGGUAACACAAAAGCUAUUCAGAAUGUACAGUAUUGUUAAAAACAUGACACCAUAAUAGAAGUAUAAUAAUAGCCAUAGAAAGUACUAAUUUAACUUUCCACAGCAGAAAUCUUAUCAUACUACCAAAAAAAAAGUUGCACACUUUAGUACUGUAUUAAGUACUGAGCUCAAAAAUAUUAUUCUAGUUAUCAUAUACUGAACUACAAAGUCAGUAUAGUAAUUAUCGUGACCUAGGCAUAGAUACCAUGUAAAAAGUAGUGUCAAAAUUAAUGUAAAUUCAAGGACCAAAAUGCAGCCCACUUGAUGUAUUCAGAAUUUUGACUGGACUCUUUAUGGCUGGAUGGUCUAAUUUGAUUCUACUAUGACUGUUUUGUAUUGAUUUAUUUUUCAAAAGCAACAGUUUUCUCAGCUGAGAUUAACCAAAUUGAUAGUUGUCUUUUUUAUGAAGCAAAUAACAUAUCAUUGACAAAUUAUCUUCACACCAAUUUACCUCAUGGAAAGAUAAGAACUGUAAAAGUGAUUUAAUCCAUUCACACAGUAGCAGCUAUAUUAGUCAUCGAUGAUCCUUUUGUUAUCAUAUGUAAUCUGAUAAUCUGCUGGACAAUUUGUCUUUCUGAAAUAUUUUUUGUCGUUUGAUAGUAAUGGCCUAACUCUGAGAGUUGUUACGCAAACUAGUUUAUCCAGUUUUCCUUCAAAACCCUUCCACCUAUUCCUACCUCCCAUUUGUCAACCCCUUUUUAUGUAGCUCAUGAUUCAUUUAUUUUAUUACUGGUAACAUCAAAUUUCCCCAAAAAGCAGCCUCUCCUUACACAAAACCGCCAGAUGCACUUAUCUAAAAAUGAUUCCGUGGUUAAAUGUCAGAGCUGUCGGUACCAUUAAGGCCAGUUGAGUUGAAGACAGGACACCCUCUCGCCUCCUCUUCCACUGUCUCUUCCUAUUUCUCCAGCUCCUUGCUCAUCAUCAAAUAGCCCUCCGCCCACCCCUCUCCCCACCCGACCAGGCUGCUGUGAGGGCUGAUGUUGCAGACCUUGUCAUUCAGAUUUGGGCCACAUUGUCAGCUGGCGGCCCUCCUCCCCCCUCUCCUCUUCCAACCGGAUCUUUCUUCGUACUGUCAUCCAGGUCCUGCGGCCAGAGGAGACCUUAUGAAACAUCGUUCCUCUUCAUCCACUUCUGUCAGUUUCAGCACUGUCACUCAAAUCACAUAUUUUUUUAGUAAGAAGUCACAGUUAGGCUCAGAGCAAGGACUGUGCUUUUUUGGGUAAAUUUGGUUAGAAAUUGUCAACUAGGAGAGCUAGAGGCCUUUAAAUACACCACAUUGCAAAGACAGUGGCUGUGGUUACAUUCACACCAACAUCUGAUUAUUAUAUCUGAUUUGUAGACCUUUAAGAUUACUUAAAUGAUACGCAAACAGCACAAUCUGAUGUGAGUAAUCAGAGGGACCAUGAUGACCAGAAGUUUUUUCACGUCAUUUUAAUACAGUUAUAACUCCAAAAAACUGAUAGUAAUCCUACUUUGAUUGCAUACUGAUGGCACGGCAGUUGAAAUAUUUUGCCCAUGAGCACAAAAAUGUCCAAGUGGAGGCAGGAAUUGAACUGACAACUUUCCAGUUAGUGGGUAUGGUGCUCUGUACACUGAGAUCUUGUCACACCAAGUUAUAUUUUUAUAUAUUUUAUUGCAUUAUCAUGAAGAUCCAACAUUUUAUAUCAAUGGAAAUACCACAAAAGUGGAUAGAUUACAGUGACAUACAAGUGUUUUUUAAUAUAUCAAUAUUUUUAUAUUCUAAAUUCUCUCUAGUUAAACCCCAGCCAGAACAGUUGAUAGUAAGCUCCACCUUCACAUCACUUCUCAUAAACACUAAACAAUGUCCGACACAUUCUGUAUCAUCCAACCACAUGUUGACUCAAAACCACAUUUUAUUGUUCUGCGUCAGAUCAGUUGUGGCUUUUGGCUGCUCCUAUAAAACUGUUUUUGUAGUAAUGAUUCAGAAUUGUGUAAUACCUCACACAUUUCCAUGGUAUUAAUUAGACAGUAAGUCAAACCUGUUGUGCUCCCUUAAUGAUAUGCCAUGCUUUACUGAAAGUGAGUCAACCAUUUUGAACCUUGUUGUGAGUAAUCUUAUAGGCAAACCAUGUAAAACGCUUCAGUCCCAUGUAUCGUCUACAGCCCUGCCCAGGUGCACUGUUUGCUAAAAGCCACUAUGAGUCAGGAGUUUCGAGAUGACUUCCUCUCUUAAACAUGUAUUAAAAGUGUUUCCCGUUCAUGGUUCAGUCAAGGUGUCAUUAUCAGUGUAUGUCAUAGAGUAGUACAGCAGAUUUCUACUGUAAGAUGCUUACCCAGAUUAGAAGUAUUCAAACUGCAAUGGCAUUAGGCAUAGCAAAUUACAGGUGAGCUUUUUUAGUUCAUCAUUAUGGUAAAUAUGGUUUUAAAAACAGAUGUUAGCAUUAAGUGAUUAAUCUAUUUUUAAUGUUGUUUAAUGUAUAAUGGGAUAACAGAAAUAACAUUGUGUUUAUAUGUACAUUUUGAAACUUGUAUUAAGUAUUGUUAAAUGAAAUACUUUUUCACUGUCUGCUCACUCUAUAGGUAGGCCAUGAAAUGUUUACCUUUAGUCACAUUUUUAUAAUAUUCCCUCAAUACUAAGAAAUCGUGUUUCCCUGAAUUUCCCCAUUUCAGGAAAACGUUAAUUAGACUAAAAUUAAUAUAGCUAUAAAUAAAACAUUUUCCUAGUUAGAGAAGCCCUGGGUGUCCCUAUCUGAGCAUUUCUGUAUCUAAUUAAGGUGAUAACCAAUGUGUUAUAUAGAGCUAUUUGAGUGCCUGUCUCAGUAGAGCAGAAUUUAGCUUCUUCCACCACAGCCCAUAGGAAUGAGUCACUCCCUGUGCAUCCCUAAGCAGACUGUCAUCUCUUGUCACCAUCAGGACCCUGCUCGCCCCGGUGAACAUUCAACGCUGUCGGUGAGUUUGAGCUAAAUGAAGAAAACCAUCGACCGUUGACUGUACCCUGUGGCUGGGUUUUGUCACUACGAAUCUGGCAAAAAAAAAAAAAACUGGAUGUAAAAACACACACAAAUGAGACUCACAUAGUUGUUAUACUAAUGCAUGCACAGGACCUAGUGGACCAAAAGGAGAUCUUUCUUCCAGGCGUUUCACAACAAAGGUCACAAUCAACAUUCAUUGCUGUCGGUGGGUUUAACUGUGUGGAAGAGCUCACUGAACGAUGAAUGCAACUGUGUCCCAGAUUUCGUCCGCCGCCGAGGGAAUAGCAGCAUGAUGAUGGCGUUAUUUACCUCCUCCGAUGUCAACUCGAAUCCAGUGUGCAGCUUAGAGACUGUGGAGCAAACUGACAGCAAGUUCACAUUGGAUUUUGGUCAGUGGAGCUGGAGGGUUUUGAUGGAAGACCCAGCAUUACUGAGGGCUAAAGUGGAAUAAUAUGAGCUUUAAUGUGAAAUGUAAACGUACCUGAUUAGAUGUAUGUUCUUUCAUAUCAUUAUUGACUUGGUUUGUAAAUUGUUAUUCAUUAGUUGUUGUUUUUUUUUUUUUAUUUAAUAAAAUGGU